UAAGAGACUACCUCAUAGCCCAAUUCACCAAAAAUAAUUUCCUAAGCACAUUCCCUGUGCUGUAUCCUGAUGUACACUCAAUUUGCUGAGAUCAUUUUUUCUGACUGUCAUUCAGUGAGCCACACUACAACUGUGCUUGUGCCCCACAUGGGACACAGAGAAGCAAGAUUAACCACCAUCUAAUUUCUACUUUUGUCAUAAAUGUUGCCCAUAACACAUGGCAGACAAAGUGUGCUCUCUGAGGAGUUUGACACAGCCACUGUCUGGCAGUCUGGGUGGUAGAGAAUAUAUUAUUUAUCAUACUCAAUGGGAUGAGGCGGGCACUGAAGCUACUUAUUGGAGCAGCUGUGAACCCCCAAUCUCCUUAAUUUUCAAAACAGAAUGCCGUGGUGUCAUGUUUGCUGAGGAGGUGAUACCCAGGUCCUUUCUGAACGGUUCCUGACUGGAGCAGCAAGAAAUGAGGCAGCUGGAUUUCACAGAGUUUUGGUAACCUUGGAGAAACAAGUUACAGCAACCAUCAGCCCAGGCGACAAAUUUGCAAGCAGGCCAGGGUGUAAGCGGGAGGAUCUGAUCUGAGGUGAGUCCCUGCUCCUCCUGAGUAAUGCACCUUCACAGACUUCACUCUUCAGGAUGAUUUGGUGUAGCAAAAAGGUGUGAAACAGGGAAAUCCAGACCCAGGUAAUUCAGCUCACGUUUAAAAGGAGGUUUUGCUUGUUGAUUAGGUAAUCCUUCUCUAGGAAAUGCACGGCACCAACUGCUUUUCAUGCUAGAUUAGUGCUCCUGUGGUCAAUUUGCUUUUACUAAUGUCAGGGCCCCACGGAGCAGGUUCAUCUGUCGCAUAGCAACUGCUUCAGCAGCAGUGGAGGUAGCCAUGCAUAAAAGAUUACACAUGAUGGCAGGGCACAAGUGUGAAGAUUUUCAAAAUUAGAUACAAUCUCAGCAUGAAUAUGAACUGCAGAAUUGACAUGGAAGGAUUUUUUUCAAGUCAUCAAGUUUCCAUAUUUAUCAGAAAAAGUGGUUUAACUGCAGUGCAUGUAAAACCAAGGAAAUGCAGAGGGCAGUAAUUUAGAAAAAGCAGCAAACAAGCCAGUGUCUGUAUACAAAUAAAUGUAAACAGA
Molecule: long non-coding RNA, 1118 nt
Filed under: Anas platyrhynchos platyrhynchos (common mallard)
Lineage: Eukaryota; Metazoa; Chordata; Aves; Anseriformes; Anatidae
Description: lncRNA (ENSAPLG00000018041.1)
Source: RNAcentral